This 276-nucleotide ribosomal RNA is filed under the name uncultured eukaryote. RNAcentral describes it as "partial 18S ribosomal RNA". It matches the Rfam family "Eukaryotic small subunit ribosomal RNA", at positions 594 to 945 of the family's 1831-position model. The record is from RNAcentral.
AUAGCGUAUAUUAAAGUUGUUGCAGUUAAAAAGCUCGUAGUUGGAUUUCAAGGGUUGCAAGGUGGAUAACACCAUUGCACUCUACCAGUCUUUGACUGUUACUGUGAGAAAAUUAGAGUGUUUCAAGCAGGCUGUUGCAGGAAUACAUUAGCAUGGAAUAACGAAUGUGUCUAGAAUCUUGGUUAAUUCUAGAUUACGAUUAAUAGGGACAGUUGGGGGCAUUAGUAUUUAAUUGUCAGAGGUGAAAUUCUUGGAUUUGUUAAAGACUAACGUAUG